UACAGAGGGGGCGAGCGUUGUUCGGAAUUACUGGGCGUAAAGGGCGCGUAGGCGGCCUGUUAAGUCGAACGUGAAAUCCCCGGGCUCAACCCGGGAACUGCGUCCGAUACUGGGAGGCUUGAAUCCGGGAGAGGGAUGUGGAAUUCCAGGUGUAGCGGUGAAAUGCGUAGAUAUCUGGAGGAACACCGGUGGCGAAGGCGGCAUCCUGGACCGGUAUUGACGCUGAGGCGCGAAAGCUAGGGGAGCAAACAGG
RNAcentral lists this ribosomal RNA (253 nucleotides) under uncultured bacterium. RNAcentral describes it as "partial 16S ribosomal RNA". It matches the Rfam family "Bacterial small subunit ribosomal RNA", at positions 524 to 776 of the family's 1533-position model. The record is from RNAcentral.